UACGUAGGGUGCGAGCGUUUAAUCGGAAUUACUGGGCGUAAAGGGUGCGCAGGCGGUUAUAUAAGACAGAUGUGAAAUCCCCGGGCUCAACCUGGGAACUGCGUUUGUGACUGUAUGACUAGAGUACGGUAGAGAGGGGUGGAAUUCCUGGUGUAGCAGUGAAAUGCGUAGAUAUCAGGAGGAACAUCGAUGGCGAAGGCAGCCCCUUGGACCUGUACUGACGCUCAUGCACGAAAGCGUGGGGAGCAAACAGG
RNAcentral lists this ribosomal RNA (254 nucleotides) under uncultured bacterium. RNAcentral's name for it is "partial 16S ribosomal RNA". It matches the Rfam family "Bacterial small subunit ribosomal RNA", at positions 524 to 776 of the family's 1533-position model. The record is from RNAcentral.